This 557-nucleotide ribosomal RNA is filed under the name uncultured haloarchaeon. RNAcentral describes it as "bacterial SSU rRNA". It matches the Rfam family "Archaeal small subunit ribosomal RNA", at positions 332 to 886 of the family's 1478-position model. Lineage: Archaea; Methanobacteriati; Methanobacteriota; Halobacteria; Halobacteriales; Halobacteriaceae. The record is from RNAcentral.
GCAGCAGGCGCGAAACCUUUACACUGCACGCCAGUGCGAUAAGGGGACUCCGAGUGCGAGGGCAUAUCGCCCUCGCUUUUCACGACCGUAGGAUGGUCGUGGAACAAGCGCUGGGCAAGACCGGUGCCAGCCGCCGCGGUAAUACCGGCAGCGCAAGUGAUGGCCGAUUUUAUUGGGCCUAAAGCGUCCGUAGCUGGCCAGGCAAGUCCAUCGGGAAAUCCACCCGCUCAACGGGUGGACGGCCGGUGGAACCUGCCAGGCUUGGGACCGGAAGACCCAACGGGUACGUCCAGGGUAGGAGUGAAAUCCCGUAAUCCUGGACGGACCGCCGAUGGCGAAAGCACGUUGGGAAGACGGAUCCGACAGUGAGGGACGAAAGCUAGGGUCUCGAACCGGAUUAGAUACCCGGGUAGUCCUAGCCGUAAACGAUGCUCGCUAGGUGUGGCACCGGCUACGCGCCUGUGUGCUGUGCCGUAGGGAAGCCGCUAAGCGAGCCGCCUGGGAAGUACGUCCGCAAGGAUGAAACUUAAAGGAAUUGGCGGGGGAGCACUACAACC